RNAcentral lists this ribosomal RNA (239 nucleotides) under uncultured bacterium. RNAcentral's name for it is "partial 16S ribosomal RNA". It matches the Rfam family "Bacterial small subunit ribosomal RNA", at positions 337 to 568 of the family's 1533-position model. The record is from RNAcentral.
ACCUACGGGGCGCAGCAGUAGGGAAUCUUCCACAAUGGACGAGAGUCUGAUGGAGCAACGCCGCGUGAGUGAAGAAGGGUUUCGGCUCGUAAAGCUCUGUUGGUAGUGGAGAAAGAUAGAGGUAGUAACUGGCCUUUAUUUGACGGUAAUUACUUAGAAAGUCACGGCUAACUACGUGCCAGCAGGCGCGGUAAUACGUAGGUGGCAAGCGUUGGCCUGAUUUAUUGGGAGUAAAGCGA